CCUACGGGAGGCUGCAGUGGGGAAUAUUGCACAAUGGGCGCAAGCCUGAUGCAGCCAUGCCGCGUGUGUGAAGAAGGCCUUCGGGUUGUAAAGCACUUUCAGCGGGGAGGAAGGCGUUAAGGUUAAUAACCUUGUCGAUCGACGUUACCCGCAGAAGAAGCACCGGCUAACUCCGUGCCAGCAGCCGCGGUAAUACGGAGAGUGCAAGCGUUAAUCGGAAUUACUGGGCGUAAAGCGCACGCAGGCGGUCUGUCAAGUCGGAUGUGAAAUCCCCGGGCUCAACCUGGGAACUGCAUUCGAAACUGGCAGGCUAGAGUCUUGUAGAGGGGGGUAGAAUUCCAGGUGUAGCGGUGAAAUGCGUAGAGAUCUGGAGGAAUACCGGUGGCGAAGGCGGCCCCCUGGACAAAGACUGACGCUCAGGUGCGAAAGCGUGGGGAGCAAACAGGAUUAGAUACCCCGGUAGUC
Molecule: ribosomal RNA, 465 nt
Filed under: uncultured Klebsiella sp.
Lineage: Bacteria; Pseudomonadati; Pseudomonadota; Gammaproteobacteria; Enterobacterales; Enterobacteriaceae
Description: bacterial SSU rRNA
Rfam family: Bacterial small subunit ribosomal RNA
Source: RNAcentral